GAUGAACGCUGGCGGCGUGCCUAAUACAUGCAAGUCGAGCGAACAGACGAGGAGCUUGCUCCUCUGACGUUAGCGGCGGACGGGUGAGUAACACGUGGAUAACCUACCUAUAAGACUGGGAUAACUUCGGGAAACCGGAGCUAAUACCGGAUAAUAUAUUGAACCGCAUGGUUCAAUAGUGAAAGACGGUUUUGCUGUCACUUAUAGAUGGAUCCGCGCCGCAUUAGCUAGUUGGUAAGGUAACGGCUUACCAAGGCAACGAUGCGUAGCCGACCUGAGAGGGUGAUCGGCCACACUGGAACGGAGACACGGUCCAGACGCCUACGGGAGGCAGCAGUAGGGAAUCUUCCGCAAUGGGCGAAAGCCUGACGGAGCAACGCCGCGUGAGUGAUGAAGGUCUUCGGAUCGUAAAACUCUGUUAUUAGGGAAGAACAAAUGUGGAAGUAACUAUGCACGUCUUGACGGUACCUAAUCAGAAAGCCACGGCUAACUACGUG
Molecule: ribosomal RNA, 497 nt
Filed under: uncultured bacterium
Lineage: Bacteria
Description: partial 16S ribosomal RNA
Rfam family: Bacterial small subunit ribosomal RNA
Source: RNAcentral